Molecule: non-coding RNA, 165 nt
Organism: Daucus carota subsp. sativus
Lineage: Eukaryota; Viridiplantae; Streptophyta; Magnoliopsida; Apiales; Apiaceae
Source: Rfam
AAAAUAAGAGCAUGUCAAAUUAGCCAAGGUGACCGGCCUGAAAACUCAAGCGCGGGGGUCUCCAUUUCUUGAGCCUUCAUUAUAUGAAAGCUGAAAGAACAUACUAAACCCCUUUGCAUGAGAGCAGGCAAGUCAUCCUUGGCUACCAAACAAACACUCUCGUCU